Molecule: ribosomal RNA, 495 nt
Filed under: Ecphylus sp. 1 AZR-2013
Lineage: Eukaryota; Metazoa; Arthropoda; Insecta; Hymenoptera; Braconidae
Description: eukaryotic LSU rRNA
Rfam family: Eukaryotic large subunit ribosomal RNA
Source: RNAcentral
AAUGCACUUUCAUACGUAUGAGUUAUGAUGUGGGUUACUUUCGAGUAUUGCCUGUACGUACUUGUACAUUUGGAGGUGUUGUCGGCGUGCACUUCUCCUCUAGUAGAACAUCGCGACCCGUUGGGUGUCGAUUUAUGGCCCGAGUGGUAGUCUUUAAUGUUAUUAACAUUAAAGACCCUCGGUGUUCUAAUCGACUGCCUGACGGUACUCGUACGGUAUUUAGCCGCAUAUGUGCGUCUAUGUCCGUUGCAAGCGCGGUUAGUUUCUGGUAUACGGACCUAGUGCCGUCGCUGGAGCUCGCCAGCUGUUGGCUACGGAAUCUAAGACUGGCUAUAACACAUACCGGUCUGCGAUGCUCCUGCUUUGGGUACUUUCAGGACCCGUCUUGAAACACGGACCAAGGAGUCUAACAUGUACGCGAGUCAUUGGGAUUUUUAAAAUAAACCUAAAGGCGCAAUGAAAGUAAAAGUCAUCCUGUGGUGACUGAGGGAGGAU